UUAGGAAUCUUCGGCAAUGGGCGAAAGCCUGACCGAGCGACGCCGCGUGAAGGAUGAAGGCCCUCGGGUCGUAAACUUCUAAAAGAGGGACGAUAGUGACGGUACCUCUUGAAAAGCACCGGCUAACUCCGUGCCAGCAGCCGCGGUAAUACGGAGGGUGCAAGCGUUAUCCGGAAUCACUGGGCGUAAAGGGCGCGUAGGCUGUCUGUUAAGUCCGAUGUUAAAGACUGGGGCUCAACCCCGGCAUGGCGUUGGAUACUGGCAGACUUGACGGUUGGAGAGGCGAGUGGAAUUACCAGUGUAGCGGUGAAAUGCGUAGAUACUGGUAGGAACACCCAUUGCGAAGGCAGCUCGCUGGACAACACGUGACGCUGAGGCGCGAAAGUGUGGGGAGCAAACCG
This 401-nucleotide ribosomal RNA is filed under the name uncultured bacterium. RNAcentral describes it as "bacterial SSU rRNA". It matches the Rfam family "Bacterial small subunit ribosomal RNA", at positions 355 to 775 of the family's 1533-position model. The record is from RNAcentral.